RNAcentral lists this ribosomal RNA (429 nucleotides) under Fusobacteriota bacterium. RNAcentral describes it as "Fusobacteria bacterium partial 16S ribosomal RNA". It matches the Rfam family "Bacterial small subunit ribosomal RNA", at positions 355 to 776 of the family's 1533-position model. Lineage: Bacteria; Fusobacteriati; Fusobacteriota. The record is from RNAcentral.
UGGGGAAUCUUCCGCAAUGGACGAAAGUCUGACGGAGCAACGCCGCGUGAGUGAAGACGGCCUUCGGGUUGUAAAGCUCUGUGAUCCGGGACGAAAGAGCCUGAGGUGAAUAGCCUAAGGAAGUGACGGUGCCGGAAAAGCAAGCCACGGCUAACUACGUGCCAGCAGCCGCGGUAAUACGUAGGUGGCAAGCGUUGUCCGGAAUUAUUGGGCGUAAAGCGCGCGCAGGCGGCUUCCUAAGUCCAUCUUAAAAGUGCGGGGCUUAACCCCGUGAUGGGAUGGAAACUGGGAAGCUGGAGUAUCGGAGAGGAAAGUGGAAUUCCUAGUGUAGCGGUGAAAUGCGUAGAGAUUAGGAAGAACACCGGUGGCGAAGGCGACUUUCUGGACGAAAACUGACGCUGAGGCGCGAAAGCGUGGGGAGCAAACAGG